Molecule: long non-coding RNA, 509 nt
Filed under: Hordeum vulgare
Lineage: Eukaryota; Viridiplantae; Streptophyta; Magnoliopsida; Poales; Poaceae
Description: long non-coding RNA (HVUL_LNC017643)
Source: RNAcentral
UUCAGCUCAUCCCUGCGUUUAAUCAGAUUCUCAAUUCUUUUCUUCAGACCAUCAAUGUGAAGGUUGAGCACCAUAAUGUCAUCAUUAAGUUUUUCCUCAGAUUUUGACAGUUUAUCAACCUGAACCUUUAAAUUGUAGUUCUCUUCACUUAGCUUCUCCUUCUCCUUCAAAUGAUUUGCCUUCUGGGUCCUAAUGACCCUGCCUUGAGCUUCUGCCAGGUUCAUAAGCACUGAAUACUUCCCUUUAACUUCCAUUAUCUCUGCCUCUUUCUUCUCAAUCUCAGACUUCAUGACAGACACAACAGAACUAGAGCUCUCUGCACCAUGGACAUUCACCUUCAUAUAGCUCAAAUCCAUGACCCUCUCCUCCUGGGCAUUGAGCAGUUGAUUCACAUCUUCUACUAGCUUGUCAUAGUUUGCAUCAAGAUUUCUUUUCUCCUUUGUGAGGUGGUGAAUUUUCAGUGAAUUCUCCAAAUUAUCAUCGCUCCUACCACUCUUGUUGUCUUCCAA